AGAGCAUCGGGGGAGCAGGCCGCAGAGGUGCGCUGAGCCAACCUUGGGCCUGCACUGCCUGGGCCUCCCGGGACCGGUAUUGGCAACAGCACCACGAAUUCUGCCAAGGAGCUCUGAAGAGGUCACGGCAACGAAACGCAGCCUCUAAUCCAGGGUUACUACAAUUCUAAGAAUCUGGUUUCUCCCGUGAAUCCAGUUGAAAAACAUGAAAAUGCAUUUCCCACUGGAUAUCUUGUCAGCCUGAAUUUUCCCCAGCCCCUCAAGGACCCAGAAUUGGGCUUGUGGCACCCCUGAAGCCUUGUGGGCUCCUGGGCCGUCUCUCCUGACAGAACACUGCACUCCCCCCGGACUCUCAGCCCUGCCCCCAGGGACCAGGCUGCAACCUUUCGUGGGGCCUCCCCGACCGCACCCAGUGGGGAACCAGGUCCCGAGGCUCACCAGAGUGCACGUGCGGAGGCUCACACACCCGGAGCUGGUGCGGGCUGGACGCCGUCAGAUGCCACCCUGGGGAAGCCGGGACACGUGGGUGCGGUCACUGCCUGGACCCGGCCCGCAGACCCCACACUACAGAGUCACACCGAUGCAUGGACUUGCAGAAGAAGAGCCACCCAGGCCCUCUGGUUUUGAUCCGGGCGGCCUCUUUACCUCCAGACCUGCCCCAGCUGAGCCUACCUGGGGGAUAGGAUGCGGGGGCGCUGCCGGUGGUCCCCGGGACGGCGGAAACGCUGCGGGCAGGGCUUGGAGCAUCAGGUUCUGCAUGAGGAUCUGGUGCAUCUGGGCGUUCUGCAUCAGCAUCAUCUCCACCAUGUCUGAAAGGAGAGGCAGGCGAGAGGGGCCCCAUGACUCACACACUCCACGCGCAUCACCAGGCCUGGCCCAGCACAAGGCUUUAGGGCUUCGCAGAGGCCGAGACGCACUCAGCGCUCCACCAGCAAGAGGCGCUCCAGGCACAGGCGUCUGGGGAUGGUUCUGAGGUUCUGCAGCUUCUGGGCUGGAGGGUGUGUGUGCCUGGCGGGCUGUUGAGGGUGUCCGGCUGGGCUCCGAGAGGCUGCUCCGCUUCUGCUACAUGCCGGCCCCCGAAAGCUGUGUCCACGUCCUAACCCCCCUGACCUCCGAAUGUGACCUCAUUUAGAAAAUCUUUGCAGACAUAACAAGAAUCUUGAAAUGAGAUCAUCCGGCAUUAUCCAGGCCAUACAUCCAAGACGAGCGUCUUCAUAACAGAGGCAGAGGGAGGCUCGACACAGCAGAGGGGAGGCCGCAUGGAGACGGGGCGGGAAUGGGACCACACGGCCACAAGCCAGGACCACCCGGAGCCGCUGCUGGAUGAGGCAGGAAGGGACCCCCCCACCCCCACCCAAGAGCCUCUGGAGGGAACCUGGCCAUGUGACACCCGGAUUUCAGAAUUCCGGCCUCCAGACAGAGAGCACAUCCCUAUUGUUUUCAGCUCCCAGGCCUGAGGCCCCAGGAAACAAAUCUCUUCACCAGUCCCCGGUACUAUGAAGCAAACACGUUUUCGUCUGUGUGGGAGGUAAACAUGGGUUCUUUCCACAACACUGAGGCCCCUGGAAAUCAGGCAGCCCCCAAGACCAGAGGCAGGCAGGUCCCUAAACCACUCACAUCCCCAGUCAAAAAAGGGGAGGCUGGUGGUGUGGACGGGACUCCUUCAGGGCUGUCCAGGAGCGGGGUACACAGCAGCCUUCCCACUGGAGUGGGCCCCUGUCUCUAGCCUGCCCUCCCUGGGGCUGCUAGCCAAGCCUCCAUAAUCACACCAGCCAAGUCCUUAAAAUACGUCUCUCUCUCUCUCUCUCUCUCUCUCGACGCACCCUGUUGGUUCUGUUUCUCCGGAGACCCUUGAUUAAUAGAUUGUGUCGCAGGCCUGAGAGCAGUGGGGUGGGGGAUGGGGGCACGGAGCCAGGUUCCCACAGCGAGACAGCGGCGGGAGCUCAGGUUCCCUGCAGGAAGAGAAUGUGCAGGGGCUGAGUCUGGCAGCCCCGUUCUGGGUGAAGACCCUUGAGGAGAACCACGUGGGGCUGGGCCUGGCCAGCUCACAUGUCCCCGGAAAGCUUCCCACUGAGCAGAACCAGCCUGUGAAGACUGGAUGAGAGGAAGAUCCAGACAGGGACAAACACAGUGUAACUGCCUCAGGAUAAGGGGCACACGUUGGUGUUAUGGGGAAACACAGUCUUCAGGACAUGGUACCCAGCCACUCUGAUAUCUGUGGCAAAGAUAACACCAGUCCCUAACUCAGAGCUCAUAAAAUCUAUUCCAGGUGGUUCAUAAACCUCAAUGGGAAAAGUAAACCAACUGUAGAAUGUCUUCAUGACCUUGAGCGGAGACACCACAAAGAAAGCGAUUGGCAGUCCGUGUAUCAAAAAGGACCCAUCCAUCAUCCUGGGAUCGAGCCCCACAUCGGGCUCUCUGCUCAGUGGGAAGCCUGCUUCCCUCUCUCUCUCUCUGCAUGCUUGUGGUCUCUCUCUCUGUGUCAAAUAAAUAAAUAAAAUCUUUUUAAAAAACCACUAUGACUGGAGAGCAUGGUCAGCUGAACAAUGGCCCCUGGCAUGUACAUACCCUCAUACCUGGAACCUGUGACCUGAGUUUCUUUACGUGGUGACAGUGAUGUUGCUGAUGUGAUUAGGAAUCUUGGAUUGGGGCGCCUGGGGGCUCAGUCAGUGAAGCAUCUGUCUUCAGCUCAGGUCAUGAUCUGGGGUCCUGGGAAUGAGCCCCGCAUCGGGCUCCUGCUUGUCCCUCUUCCUCUGCCCCCCACUCAUACUCAUACUCUCUCUCAAAUAAAUAGAUAGGAUCUUAAAAAAAAAAAAAAAAGAACUUUGGAUGCAAACAACCCAAUGUCCAUCAACAAAUGAAGGGAUAAAAGACCAUGGUCUAUGCAUACCACGGAGAACUGUUCAGCCUUAGAAAGGCAGGAAAGUCUGCCACCUGCCACCACACGAUGACACUUGAAGACGUUCGUUAUUCCACACGAAAUAAGCCAGCGACAGAGGGACAAAUACUCUAGGAUUCCUCUCCUCAGAGGUGCUUGGAGUCAUCCAAUUCCAAGACAGAGUAGGCGUGUGUGCUGGGGCUGGCAGGAGGGGCCUGGAUGCAAGAUGGAAAGUUCUGAAGAUCCGUCGCUCAACCGUGCGGGCCCGGUUAACACUACUUAAACAAGUUUAAGGUGGGAAAUUUUAUGUGUUUUUACCACAAUUUUUUUAAGAUUUAUGUAUUCACUUGAGGGGGUUGGAGAGAGCACACAUGCACGGGGGUGGGGGAAGGGCAGAGGGAAGGAAUAUCCCAAGAAGACUCCCCACUGAGCAAAGAACCCAGCGUGGGGCUCGAUCUCAUGACCCUGAAGUCGCAACCUGAGCUGAAGCCAGGAGUCGGACGCUUAACUGACUGCAUCACCCAGGUGCCCCUACGACAGUUUUUAAAAUUAAUUAAUUUUUGAAAAAGAAUCCUGAGGUGGGGAGAUUAUCCUGGAUUAUCUGGGUAGACCCAACAUAAUCACAAGGGCCCUCAGGAAGUGGUGAGAGAAAAUAACUAUCAGUUUAGAUCUGAAUGUCCAGCAAAACUGGUAUUUUUUUUAAAAGGGGAAAAAAAAACAUUCGCCAGAAAACAAACACUGAGGAGCUUCAAGAGUCUGUUGUCAAGGAACGUGGGAAGGAUUUAUUUCAAGAUGACAGAAGAUGAUUCCAGAGGGUGGUCUGAAUAUACAAAAGGGUGAGUAGGUUGUCAGGGGUGAUUUCUGGUGUCUAGUUUGGGAAGUUGUUCUGAACGAGGAAAAGUGGGGCACCUGUGGGGUCAUUAAGCCUCUGCUUUCAGCUCGGGUCAUGAUCCCAGGGUCCUGGGAUCGAGCCCCUCAUGGGGCUCCCUGCUCAGCGGGAGUCUGCUUCUCCCUCUCCCACUCCCCUGCUGUUUUCUCUCUCUCACUGUGUCUCUCUCUGUGUCAAAUAAAUAAAUAAACUCUUUUUAAAAAAUAGAAAUGAGGGGCGCCUGGGUGGCUCAGUGGGUUGAGCCUCUGCCUUCGGCUCAGGUUGUGAUCUCAGGGUCCUGGGAUCGAGCCCCACAUCGGGCUCUCUGCUCAGCGGGGAGCUUGCUUCCUCCUCUCUCUCUGCCUGCCCCCCUGCCUACCUGUGAUCUCUGUUAAAUAAAUAAAUAAAAUCUUAAAAAAAAAUAGAAAUGAAAGUGAAGAGCAGCAGUGGCUGGGUGGGAGGUGGGGGGCGAGCGUGUGGCAAGCUCCUCCCACCACCGCAGAGAGGGAGCUCCGGACCCCACGCAUUCAUCUUCCCGGGAAAAUGAAUAAAUGAAUGAUAAGCAGAGUCAGACCUAUAAGUACAGAGAACAGCCUAAUGGUCGCUGGUGGUUGGAGGCGUGUGGGGUCUGGGGAGACAGCGGCGGGUCGGCCGGGUCCAGACAGAGUCAUGGGGCAGCAGGCGUGGCGGAGGGAUGUGGCCUCCGACAAUGCCGGGUGUGCACACAAGCUCCAUGGUGGGUCCACUGCUUCAGAUCUCCUGCUCACCUUUGGAGCUCGUCGGGGUAAGGCGUGGAGUGAGGACUUGAUGCUACGUGGAACAGCAAGACACACACAUACAGACACAGACGGACACAGACGGGCACAUAC
Molecule: RNA transcript, 4615 nt
Organism: Mustela lutreola (European mink)
Lineage: Eukaryota; Metazoa; Chordata; Mammalia; Carnivora; Mustelidae
Gene: YBEY
Gene name: ybeY metalloendoribonuclease
Exons: 5
Source: RefSeq, a predicted model, not a curated record